RNAcentral lists this ribosomal RNA (440 nucleotides) under uncultured bacterium. RNAcentral's name for it is "partial 16S ribosomal RNA". It matches the Rfam family "Bacterial small subunit ribosomal RNA", at positions 338 to 795 of the family's 1533-position model. The record is from RNAcentral.
CCUACGGGAGGCAGCAGUGGGGAAUAUUGCACAAUGGGGGAAACCCUGAUGCAGCGACGCCGCGUGAGUGAAGAAGUAAUUCGUUAUGUAAAGCUCUAUCAGCAGGGAAGAAAAUGACGGUACCUGAGUAAGAAGCCCCGGCUAACUACGUGCCAGCAGACGCGGGAAUACGUAGGGGGCCAGCGUUAUCCGGAUUUACUGGGUGUAAAGGGAGCGUAGACGGCAGGGCAAGUCUGGAGUGAAAGGCGGGGGCUCAACCCCCGGACUGCUCUGGAAACUGUACGGCUGGAGUGCAGGAGAGGUAAGUGGAAUUCCUGGUGUAGCGGUGAAAUGCGUAGAUAUUAGGAGGAACACCAGUGGCGAAGGCGGCUUACUGGACUGUAACUGACGUUGAGGCUCGAAAGCGUGGGGAGCAAACAGGAUUAGAUACCCGGGUAGUC